UACGUAGGGGGCAAGCGUUGUCCGGAAUCAUUGGGCGUAAAGCGCGCGUAGGCGGCCCGGUAAGUCCGCUGUGAAAGUCGGGGGCUCAACCCUCGAAUGCCGGUGGAUACUGUCGGGCUAGAGUGCGGAAGAGGCGAGUGGAAUUCCUGGUGUAGCGGUGAAAUGCGCAGAUAUCAGGAGGAACACCGAUUGCGAAGGCAGCUCGCUGGGACGUAACUGACGCUGAGACGCGAAAGCGUGGGGAGCAAACAGG
RNAcentral lists this ribosomal RNA (253 nucleotides) under uncultured bacterium. RNAcentral's name for it is "partial 16S ribosomal RNA". It matches the Rfam family "Bacterial small subunit ribosomal RNA", at positions 524 to 776 of the family's 1533-position model. The record is from RNAcentral.